Molecule: long non-coding RNA, 1759 nt
Organism: Mya arenaria
Lineage: Eukaryota; Metazoa; Mollusca; Bivalvia; Myida; Myidae
Exons: 8
Source: RefSeq, a predicted model, not a curated record
UGUCAAAACGUUCAAUCUGUGAGAGUGCAGCUUUAAGGAGAUGCAACCAUAAAGGAUUCCACAUACUUUCUUCAACUUGGAUGAAGAUGUUCCAAUCCAGUGUCCACCAUGUAUACCGGUAGUAGAUAUUCACCCGGGCUGAAAUUGUACGGCCAGACCUAUGUGUCUGACGUCAUCCCCCAAGGCUGGGAAGCUCAAAGAAUCCAUUCUGAUCAACAGGGAGUUCAUCAAGGCUGGUGACUUCUUCCUUGGUAAGAUGAGGCUUAACUGCAAUUGCCACCCCACGUUCGACACUUCAAAGCGGCUCCAACACCUCUAAAGAGCCCAGCGUCGGUUUGUUGAUGGCACAUUGAGGUUGUUCUACCAGCUGAUGAUCAACCAUCGCAGCUGAUGAUCAACCAUCGCAGCUGAUGAUCAACCAUCGCAGCUGAUGAUCAACCAUCGCAGCUGAUGAUCAACCAUCGCAGCUGAUGAUCAACCAUCGCAGUCUUAUUUCAAGAAAGAUGAAAUUGUGAUGCAGAUCCUGUCCCUCUUCUUCCUGACGUCAAGACAACAGAAGAGGGACUAUGUAGCUCUACCUGAGACAGGCCAUUCCAUGGGUCUGCCGCAAGCCCCUAUCUGUACAUGCAUCUCCAACUGGACUCAGCCCAUUUAUUAUAUGGUUACAGGUUUGAUCCCCAUUAGGGGUACUUUCUCACGACUUCUCAAAAUGGAAACCAGUAUUGGUUUGUAAGCAAGAAACAGACUCAAGAGUGUACUUAUAAGCUAUUGGCUUUCGUCACAAUAGAGCUAAAUGAAAUAGGACUAUUUUGAGACUGCACAAUACUGUUGCCCUUGGAGACAGUGUGUACAGGACAUUUCUAAAAAUAGACUCCAGCAAGCCAACCAGACACAAUCAAACUGGUGAAAAAAACAUAGUGUCAGAAGAAUUCCCAUGCUGAUAGUAGAGAGAGACGGGUCAUGCAAUCAUAGAAGUGAAUGUCACACGUGUUUCUAGAGUAGCAGACAAUUCAGCCGAUACAUCUGUAGAUUUCUCCCUGGCUGAGUCACACCCCAGAAAGGCAGCACCUUCCUUGGUGUUUGGGCCUAGAGGUUUGCACAGUGUCUGCAAUCAGUGACGUCAGUGUUGAAGAUGUACUUUACCAGCAAUGGAAACCUUUAACUGAGAAGAACAUUGAUUGAUUUUGUUCAUUUGCAUACCAUAAAACUUUGUUAAUUUCUGUUCUGAUCUGUGCCAGUUAUUGUCAACUGUAAAUGUAUGUUGUGGUUGUUUUCAAUUUUGUUGCAAUGUUAAUUAUUAACAUUUAAAAUGUUUGUAUACACCAGUCCCUGAGUAUAAUGCUUGCAAUACAAUCCUCUCCAAUGGGUUUUGUUGCCCCUAUAGUAACAAUAGUUUUAAAUGAUUUGCACACAUAGUUUUCUUAUUGGCCCCUAAACAUGUUUAAUAUACCUAGCUUGCAUACUUCUUGAGUUAUAUGAGGAUCCAUUUUUCCAAAUGGACGGAAGACAUUCACACAAUUGUGCCAUAACAAUCACAUCUUUAUGAUUAAAAACAGACGUGGCAUUUCUACCAAGUUUUAUGAAUGUAUUUCUUUCAUACCAAGACACUAUCAAAAAGUGUUAUAUUCACCAUUUUAGGUGCCAUAGCAACCAAAGUUUUUUGUUGGCCGAAAAAUACAAAGUGACAUGUAAAUACCACAUACAUGUACCAAGUUUCAUUCACCUAGCUUGCCUUUUUUUGUGUUAUUGCAGCGUGAAG